UUGCUUUCUGGGCUGAUGAAAAUAAAUAGCAUCAUUUUAAAAUUUUUAAUACAAGCAAGUGUUCAAACUUGCAAGAUGCUUGAAAACACAGAGUUGCACGCAACAAUGAACUAAAUUGCACUGUCAGGCACACACAGAAGACAGAUAUGCUCUCAGUCUACAAACAGGGUUUCAGAGGAUGGGCCCCAGUUCUUCAGUAGAGCUUCUUUUGAACUUGAAAUGACUCUAUUGAACACAAAUGCAAACAAGCACUGCAAUGAUCUUAGUCUUGUUUAUAGAUGUCCCACAGCUGGUCACUAUAUCUAUGAUACAGUUGGGGAAAGAAUUAUAGUGUAAGUUAGCAGGAGCCAAGCCAGCUUUAAGGAAGCUUACUCUGUCGUUGAUAAUCAAGUUCAAGUAGCACUAAAUUCAGUGCAGCUUAUUUUCACAGGUCCAAAGUUAGUUCUUGGGAAGACACAAGCUACUGUAGCCAGACUGUUACAAUACAGGUAUUGAAUCAGAAUAAUUUUCAGUCUAUUUAUACCUAAGGACAAUAAUUUCUAUGUCCAGUGCCAAGGUACCUUUGAAUACCAGCCAGCAGUUUUACCCAUGCCCAGCUUUACAGACACUGAGCCCGAAGACCAGCUUUACACAGUAAAAGCAUACUGCUUUAACCACAACUGAGGUUUACACUUCUUUUAUGUAGGUCAUAUCAUUUUAAUAAUGGCAGAGGCAGUGUUACAUACAGCUGCUUUUCAGGACAGGAAGCAAAAAGAAAAAACACCCAGCUGAAGUGAUAAAACAAUAAUCCCAGGAAUCUUUCUGACUUCAUGCUAUUCUUACUAACAGAUACUCCUUUAAUAGUGAUGAGUUAAUGAUAUCAAGCCCUGUGUGAUCUGACAUGCAGCAUGUGAGAUGACAGUAUUCAGACAGAAAUACUCUAACUCUGUCAAGCUAGCUGGCUCCUAUUAUAGGAUGGAUGUUAAACCAUGCUGCUGAACAAGCUUUGGCAGCUAUCAUGCGAGCUUCUGAAGUGAAUGAAUCACAGCAGUAACAGAUGAUUGAACAGGGGUAUAUACAGUGUGACUCCUUAAUUUCUUUCACAGGUUCACACUUCAAAUCAAUUGCAGCAAAGCUCAGAUUGUACGACACUGAAAACUGAGUUCUGCUCCUUUAAAAAAACACCCAACCUGGCCUUCUGGGAAAACAACAAAACUGUAGAUGGAAGAAUCUGCGUAUUUCCAGGUAGAAAUACAUGUUGGUGUUUUAUUUUGACUCUGGAGUAGCUAGUUGCAUAUCUACAUAUGAAAAAGAUGGUGUCAGAUUGUCUUCUAGAUAUUAAAUGCAGGUAUUGCUCGUGUUUUGCUCUUAAUUGCAUUGCAGAAGAGCAUUUCUAAUCUGUGACUGAGAAAAAAUGAAAAUUCUAUCUUCAGCAUAUUUUACUAGAUUUAGACUAACUAUAGCUAACAGGCUGCUUUCCAGUGUCUACUGCUGAAAGAGGGUCUAUGUCUAAUUAAAUUUGCUUUUAUUUUUAAACAGAUUUUAGUGGAAUUAAAAAAAAAUAUUGGAAGGAAAAACUAAAUCUGCAAAGCUGUUUUUUUCGACAAUUUCAUUUUUGCACAUAGUUCACAGUGAAGAACCCUCCAAUUACUAUGUUUCAUUAACUGUGUUAAAAAAAGAGCAAGUUGUGCCUUAUUCUGCUUAACAUUCAUAGCAUGAAAUAGAAGUUUGGCCUUUUGAGAGGUACUGGGAGAAAAAGUUUCGAAUAUGUUCUUGUAACAUAUUUAAUUACCUACAUGGACCUAAUCUUUCUUUUUCCUCAUUAGUAUUUUUUUGUAUAUAGAAAACAGCUGUAGAAUUCACAAAUGGCAAAAGCACAGCUGCAUGUACAAUCCAGUCUGAUAUGUGUGAUGAAAUGAGGAGAAAGGGGUAACAGAAUCUAUGCCCCAGGAAUAGAUAGAAAUUUAACGGGUAUUUGCAGUAGAAAUUAAAAAAAAACCUAUCUGAAAGACCUGUUUUUGGUACUAGGAUGCUAUUGCCAUCUCUUAAAUUUUUAUUGCAAGUUCUAGGACUGCCAGUGUAAUAAAAAGCAUGCUGCUGGAAUAAAAAACGAUUCCUAAGCAAACACAGUAUCUAGUAAAAAUACAAACCCACAGGGUUGCUGAAAAAAAGAAGAAAAUUUAUCCUAAAACUUCAGAAAACAGAAGUUAAUCCGAAAUUAUUGUCUACUUUGACAGUUGCUCAGGUGUUUUUUUUUUUAAGCCUAGAAUUUUGGGAUCAUCAUUUUGCCACAUCAGAGAAUAAAAUCCAUUAACAUUACUAAUAUUUCAACUCAAUUUUCUGACAGAUGAAGACAUCAUUUCUUUUUAUAUUUAUUUUAAUUUUGUGCCUUCUUCUGUUCCAGUGGUGGAAACCAGAGUGAACAAUUUCAUUUAUCAAUUUCCAUGCACCUGUGUAAUGCUGAUAUGUUUAGACUCACAAACUGGCAGUGAGGGAGUCUUUAAAAGAUAUUCCUUAAAAGAAGUCAAAAAUAAUUAAAAUAAUUUUGUGCAUAUCAAUUUUCGUAAGACUUCUGUAACUUCUUUAAAUUUUGCCUUUGCUAAAUAUUAUCUCGACAUAGGCUCUGACAGUCUUAAUGUUAUCUGCUGUCUCCUGUACUAUCGGCUCCAUAUACUCCUGCAACUCUUUUCCUUUCCUUCCAAGUUCCCUGUAGGCCGUUCAUAAACCUCUCCUCUUACAAUAGGAGCUGUGUUGCUCAUUAUGGCCUACUGCGGACAAAGAAGUGCCAUUGUAUCUAACACACAGCCUUGCUUUUCUUGGCCAGUCAUCUGUAGUUUUAGCCUAUUCUGUAUGGUAUACCACAAGAAUGUGAUGCAACCCAAUAUGCUGGGUUGCCCUAAACGGAAAGGGGAAGAGGCAUGUGGGAAAGUUUAUUCUGGACCUCCUUGUCUGGGAGCUGCAGUGAACCCCAGUUUGCUUCAGUAAAUCAUCUUAAUAUUUACAGUAAGUAGUGGAGGUGAGCAGUCCCCAUUUUUACCUUUGCCAAGCCCCCCCCGGCUGUCUACACAUCCACACCAUUGUGCCAUCACAUCUGUGGCAAAAGGCAAUAUCAUAUAUUUUUUUUUUUCCUAGUUAAUGAAAACUCGGUGCUCGUAACAUAACUACACUGAUUGUUUUGACUGAAGAAGCAAAGAAGCUGAAAAAUUUUGCUGUGAUUGCUAAAGACUUCUUUGCCCUGCAAACAGCUGAAGAGGUGGUGUCAGACGAUAAUCCAUAGCAUAGCCAAAAAUAAUGCUAGAAGCCAUCGCUAUGCACUUAUUUCAUCAACGACAUUGAGCCUUUGUUAUUUGCAAUCAUACUGAAAAAAGAGCAUACUGUGAAAUAAGCAGCUUUGCUUUAGAUUUAGAGAAUUUAUGUUUUUAUGGAGACUACAAGUAAUUCAUCAGGUUGCCACUUCAGAAUUUCUGAUGUUGGCUUUCUUCAUCUAUAAUUUCUAGGUUUUGUUCACCAUGACAGAUCAGUAGGGAUGUAGUUUGUGUAACUGCCUUUAGAACUGCUUUUUGGUUUGGGGCUCAAGUAUUUCACCAAAAAUCAUCAACAUGUUAAAUACUGCUUUUUUCCAUUACAUGAUGUAAUCUGAAGUAAUUAUUCUGCACGUAAAUGCUGAAUGUCUUGAUUUUUAAAUGUCAUGUCCAUCAGGGUCAUGAUGAUCUGGGUAUUUUUCUUGACCUAUAGAGAACAGGGAACUGGCUUCCUGCAUAAUGUUCUUCAUCUGGUCCCACAUUUUGAUGCAUGUAUUUGUUAACAUGAUACAUGUAUAGUAGAAGUAUCUCCUGCAUUUCAGCUUUUUUUUUUUUUUUAAUCCCUGUAUUUCAAAAGGCCUGUUAAAAUCAAUUUGUAGAAACUUUGUUUCUUAAACUUCAGUAGAUACACAGACAACUUUGUAUUGUGAACAGUGACUUUACAACUGAACUUUAGUAUCAGGCUAGAAAACUGCGUAAUUUCUUGUACAGUUGAUUUAAUGAAGGAACUGUGCAUAAAGCAGAAUCUGGCACUGAUUCCAGCCCAAGUUCAAACUUCAAUCUUCAGAACCGACACACGCUGUACACACACCACCGAUGCCAGCGUUUGCUGCCGUACUUCCAGCCCUGCAGAACAAAAGAUGAGGCUCUCUCACCAACCGUAACAAUUAAAUAACUCAAUGGCACUUUUCUGCCUUUGCAGGGCGUUAUCGCUGGCAUUCCAGCCAAGCUGUAGUUCGGGAAAUUACAUUUUUCCCCCCUGUAUUUCCAAAUGGGUAAUAACCAGUGCCUGAUAACCAGUGCUGCGGGAGGCAUUAGAAAGACGAGGCUUAUCAAACGAAACACGUUGGUCUGUAAGCAGCACCACAGAUGACGCUGUUCCCCCCCGCCCCGUGCCCGCAGAGCCGUGAGCGCCCCUCACCGCUGCCCCGUGCCCCCCGGGGGACCAGGCGCUGCCGCCUCCGGACGCGCUGGCUGCCGCUCCAGGGGGCUGCGGGGCGCUGGUACCCGCCCAGCUAAACCGCCACCCUCCCGGCAAUUCGGUGUUUAAUUCCAUCCCUGGCUGCUAGCGGGGUGGCAACGUGCAAGUUUUGAGUCGGCGGCGCCCGUAGCGAGCGGCACCCGGUAACGGCAGCAGCUCUGCCGCGGCGGGGCGGCAGCCAGGCGCCAGCUGGCGGAGCGGCAGCUCCCGCCGCGCCUCCAGGGCCGCCCGGCGCCGGAGCACACGCGGCCCCUCCCGGGAGCGGCGGGGGAACACCCCCGGCCUCCCGAGCGCGGAACGCCGCUGCCUGCCAGCCCGCACGGUCCCGGCCCCGCCGACGGCGUGAGGGGCAGGCACCCCCCCGGCGGGGGCAGCGGGCAGCGGCCGCCCCCGCCCCGUGCCUCUCCCCGCCCGGCGGCGGCGGAGCGAGCGCCUCUGGCCCGGCCGGUCCCUCCUCGCACGCCGUAGUGAUGCUCCCGGCGUCUCGGCCCGCCGAGGCUGUUCCCAAGAUGGCGGCCGCGCGGGCGGCUCUGCGCGGCCGGGCUCCUGCAGCUGGGUAGAGACCCCCCACCCCCCUCCAGCUCUCCCCUGCUCCUCGCUACACCCCCGGCGCUGCAGCGGGCCAGGCCGGGCCGCGCACUGGGACCCGUCGCCAUGCCGGCCUCGGUGCACGCAUGAGAGACGUCGCCGCGCUGGUCUCUGCCGCCGCCGCCAUGGAGGAGCUGCCGCCGCCGCCGGGGAGGAAAGAGUGCAAAUCAGAAGAUGCUACUUGCAAGAUCUCUGUAUCUGACCCUGAGGAAUUAUCAGAUGAAGCAAGUGCUGACACCUUCUAUGGAACUUCCCCUCCUAGUACACCCCGCCAGAUGAAGCGUAUGUCAACAAAGCAUCAGAAAAAUAACGUUGGGAGACCUGCUAGCCGCUCUACUUUGAAAGAAAAGAUGAGUGUGCCAACUCAGACUGUGCAUAAAGACAAUGGGAAAACCAUCGAGAAUGUGGAGGAGCACAGCUAUAAGCAAGGGAAAAAGAUUCGAGAUACCCUAAGGACAACAGAACGAGAUCACAAGAAAAACGUGCAGUGCUCAUUUAUGUUAGACUCAGUUGGUGGGUCUUUGCCAAAAAAACCAAUUCCAGACAUUGAUCUCAAUAAGCCUUACCUCAGCCUUGGCUGUAGCAAUGCUAAGCUUCCAGUCUCUGUGCCCAUGCCAAUACCCAGAACUGCACGCCAGACUUCUAGGACUGAUUGUCCAGCAGACCGCUUAAAAUUCUUUGAAACCCUGCGGCUUUUGUUAAAACUUACCUCAGUCUCAAAGAAAAAGGACAGGGAGCAAAGAGGACAGGAAAACACUUCUUCUGUCUGGCUGAACCGAUCCAAUGAACUGAUCUGGCUAGAGCUGCAAGCUUGGCAUGCUGGCCGGAGCAUUAAUGACCAAGACCUCUAUCUCUAUGCAGCCCGUCAAGAUAUCCCUGAUAUAAUCAAUGAAAUCCUCACCUUCAAAGUGAACUAUGGAAGCUUCUCCUGUGUAAAAAACGGAGCCAGUCUCAAUGGUACUUCAGGAGAAGGAGUUUGCAAAGCAACACAUGGAACUAGUGCUUUGGAUUACUCAAGUUACCAUGAACACCUCCAUCGGCAGCGGGUCUCAUUUGAGCAAGUAAAGCGGAUAAUGGAGCAGCUAGAGUAUAUAGAAGCACUUUACCCAUCUCUGCAGGCUCUUCAAAAGGACUAUGAAAAGUAUGCUGCGAAGGACUUCCAGGACAGAGUGCAGGCACUCUGUCUAUGGUUAAAUAUUACAAAAGACUUAAAUCAAAAACUAAGGAUUAUGGGAACUGUUUUGGGCAUCAAAAAUCUUUCUGACAUUGGCUGGCCAGUGUUUGAAAUCCCUUCUCCUUUACCAUCUAAGGACAAUGACCCAGAGGAUGAAGAAGUUGAUAGGGAAACAGAAGUAAAGGAAUCCUCAGGAACAUGCACAGAGGAGAGUGAUGGUGAUGAACAAAUCUCUGAGGAGAAUGUUGAGGAACUUAGACAAGCCAUCAAGAACAAUUUUACUAAUAAGCCAAAUUUUGACUUUCAGGACCAUUUUUCAAGGAGGCUUGAUAGGCUUGAAUCUGAGGAUGACUCCACCUCUUGGGUUAUUCCAGAAUGCAGUGCUGAGGCAAGCUGCAGCCAACACUGUUUGACCUCUAUUUACAGGCCAUUUGUAGAUAAAGCACUGAAGCAAAUGGGGUUGAGGAAGCUAAUUUUAAGACUGCACAAGCUAAUGCAUGGCUCAUUGCAAAGGGCCCGAAUGGCGUUGGUAAGGAGUGAUCACCAGCUGGAGUUUUCAGAAUUUCCAGAUCCCAUGUUGUGUUCAGAUUAUGUGCAGUUAUUAAAUUCCCCACCUUGUUGUGAGCAAAAAUGCAGCACUGUGUCGUGGGAGGAGCUGAAAUCCAUGGACUUACCGUCUUUUGAACCUGCAUUCUUGGUCCUUUGCCGAGUCCUGCUCAAUGUUAUCCAUGAAUGUCUCAAGCUAAGGUUGGAACAAAGACCUGCUGGGGAACCAUCUCUUUUGAGUAUUAAACAGCUAGUGAGAGAGUGUAAAGAGGUUCUGAAGGGCGGCCUGUUAAUGAAGCAAUAUUACCAGUUUAUGUUACGGGAGGUGUUAGAUGACUUACAAAAGAUUGAUUACAACAUUGAUCCUUUUGAAGAGGACCUGCAUAAAAUGUUAAUGGUUUACUUUGAUUAUAUGCGAAGCUGGAUCCAAAUGCUACAGCAGUUACCUCAAGCGUCUCAUAGUUUAAAAAAUCUUUUGGAGGAAGAAUGGAAUUUCACCAAAGAAAUAACUCCUUAUAUAAGAGGAGGUGAAGCUCAAGCUGGCAAACUGUUCUGUGAUAUUGCAGGAAUGCUGCUGAAAUCUACAGGAAUGUUUUUAGAUUCUGGACUACAGGACAGUUGUGAUGAAUUUUGGGCCAGUGCCGAUGACAGUACUGCAUCAGAUGAAAUCAGGAGGUCUGUUAUAGAGACCAGCCGAGCACUCAAAGAGCUGUUUCAUGAAGCUAGGGAGCGAGCCUCCAAAGCUCUUGGAUUUGCUAAAAUGCUGAGGAAAGACCUUGAAAUAGCAGCAGAAUUUGCGUUGUCAGCCCCUGUACGAGAUCUUCUGAAUGCUCUGAAAACGAAAGAGUAUGUGAAGGUACAAAUUCUUGGACUUGAGAAUUUACAAGUAUUUGUACCAAAUAGUAUCGCAGGGGAAAAGUCUCUGAUUUUGCAGCUCCUCAAUGCAGCUGCUGGAAAGGAUUGCUCAAAGGAUUCAGAUGAGGUUGCAUAUGAGGCCUAUUUAGUAAUGACCAAACACGGUGAUAAAGACCAUGAAUCAGAUGACAGCUGGAGUGCAUGGGAGGGUCAGCCAGUCAAAGUAGUGCCACAAGUAGAAACUGUUGACACACUGCGCACAAUGCCGGUUGAUAACCUCCUCCUUGUAGUCAUUCAGUCUGCUCACCUUGUGAGUCAGAGAAAAGCUUUCCAGCAGUCUAUUGAAGGGCUCAUCUCUCUGCACCAGGAACAGACAUCUAGCCAACCGGUCAUCGCCAAAGCUCUACAACAGCUAAAAAGUGAUGCAUUACAGCUAUGCAAUAAGAUAAGCAGUGCCAUUGACAGAGUUGAUCACAUGUUCACAUCUGAGUUUGAUGCUGAAGUUGAUGAAUCUGAAUCUGCCACUUUGCAGCAAUACUACCGGGAAGCCAUGAUACAGGGUUAUAAUUUUGGGUUUGAGUACCAUAAAGAAGUUGUUCGUCUGAUGUCUGGAGAAUUCAGGCAGAAAAUUGGAGACAAGUAUAUCAGCUUUGCCAGGAAAUGGAUGAAUUAUGUGCUAACAAAAUGUGAGAGUGGCCGGGGCACUCGACCCAGGUGGGCAACUCAAGGUUUUGAUUUUCUUCAAGCCAUUGAGCCAGCAUUUAUUUCAGCUCUCCCAGAAGAUGACUUCUUGAGUUUACAAGCUCUGAUGAAUGAGUGCAUUGGUCAUGUUAUUGGAAAACCUCACAGUCCUGUUACAGGUUUGUACCUUGCAAUUCAUCGAAACAGUCCCCGUCCUGUAAAAGUACCUCGGUGCCAUAGUGAUCCACCAAAUCCUCAUCUUAUCAUCCCUACUCCUGAAGGCUUCAGCACACGGAGUGUCCCUUGUGAUGCACGGAACCAUUGCAGCGUUGCUGUCAGUCGCCCCGCUCCCAUCGGUAGCGACUCAGCUCAACCCAAACCUGUCAGCAGUGCAAAUGAUACCAGGGGUUCCAGUGUCCCUGAAAAUGAUCGACUGGCUUCAAUAGCAGCUGAGUUGCAGUUCAGAUCCCUUAGUCGUCACUCCAGUCCCACUGAAGAGCGAGAAGAACCAUCGUAUCCAAAAGGAGAUUCGAGUGGCUUAUCCCGGAGGAGUUGGGAGCUCAGAACGUUAAUUAACCAGACCAAAGACACUGCUUCCAAGCAAGCACCGAUUGAAGCUGUUCAAAAGUCUGUUCGAUUGUUUGAAGAAAGGAGAUACAGAGAGAUGAGGAGGAAGAACAUCAUUGGCCAAGUUUGUGACACACCAAAAUCUUAUGAUAAUGUCAUGCAUGUAGGUUUGAGAAAAGUGACUUUCAAGUGGCAGAGAGGAAACAAAAUUGGUGAAGGCCAGUAUGGGAAGGUCUAUACCUGUAUCAGUGUUGACACUGGAGAGCUGAUGGCUAUGAAGGAAAUAAGAUUUCAGCCUAAUGAUCACAAAACCAUCAAAGAAACAGCUGAUGAACUGAAGAUUUUUGAAGGCAUCAAACACCCUAAUCUGGUUCGUUAUUUUGGUGUGGAGCUCCAUAGGGAAGAAAUGUACAUCUUCAUGGAGUACUGUGAUGAGGGCACUCUGGAGGAGGUAUCAAAACUGGGCCUUCAGGAGCAUGUCAUUAGGCUCUACUCAAAGCAAAUCACGGUUGCUAUCAAUGUACUACAUGAACAUGGUAUUGUUCAUCGAGACAUUAAAGGGUUUUGAAUCACCGCAGCAGUGUAGGAGGUUCCCAGUUGCUCUUGGUCCUUUGGCCUCGUGCUUCUCAUUUGGGAAAAGAACUAUCUACGAUCCAGAGGCCUCCCACCCAGGAGCCAACAUCUUUCUUAC
Falco peregrinus (peregrine falcon) is the source of this 9584-nucleotide RNA transcript. It is a transcript of the gene named mitogen-activated protein kinase kinase kinase 4, with no coding region annotated. The transcript has 25 exons. NCBI's taxonomy places the organism in Eukaryota, Metazoa, Chordata, Aves, Falconiformes, Falconidae. The record is from RefSeq and is a predicted model, not a curated record.